GUGUUAAAGGCCAGUUUUUGUGAUUUUUUUGUCCUUUUUGGUAUUUGAUGUUUUUUUACCUCAAUCCGGUGAUGACGUCACGUUGGGGAGAGUAUACUCAGCCUAAUACUAGAACUAUAGCAAUUGAC
Etheostoma cragini (Arkansas darter) is the source of this 128-nucleotide long non-coding RNA. RefSeq lists it as uncharacterized. The transcript has 3 exons. The record is from RefSeq and is a predicted model, not a curated record. NCBI's taxonomy places the organism in Eukaryota, Metazoa, Chordata, Actinopteri, Perciformes, Percidae.